UACGGGGGAUGCAAGCGUUAUCCGGAUUUAUUGGGUUUAAAGGGUGCGUAGGCUAUGAGGUAAGUCAGCGGUGAAAUGCCCCCGCUCAACGGGGUGAAGUGCCAUUGAUACUGCCUUGCUGGAAUGCGGAUGCCGUGGGAGGAAUGUGUGGUGUAGCGGUGAAAUGCAUAGAUAUCACACAGAACACCGAUUGCGAAGGCAUCUCACGAAUCCGCUAUUGACGCUGAUGCACGAAAGCGUGGGUAUCAAACGGG
This 254-nucleotide ribosomal RNA is filed under the name uncultured bacterium. RNAcentral describes it as "partial 16S ribosomal RNA". It matches the Rfam family "Bacterial small subunit ribosomal RNA", at positions 524 to 776 of the family's 1533-position model. The record is from RNAcentral.